RNAcentral lists this ribosomal RNA (417 nucleotides) under uncultured eukaryote. RNAcentral describes it as "bacterial SSU rRNA". It matches the Rfam family "Eukaryotic small subunit ribosomal RNA", at positions 1228 to 1657 of the family's 1831-position model. The record is from RNAcentral.
ACACGGUAAGGAUUGACGGACUGAAGGCUCUUUCUCGAUUCCGUGGAAAGUGGUGCAUGGCCGUUUUGGUUGGUGGAUCGAUCCGUCUGGUUAAUUCCGUUAACGAACGAGACCUCGGCACUCCGAAUAGCGCGGCGGACGUCGCGGCCUCCGGGCCGUCUUCCGCACGAGCUUCUUAGAGGGACCGUCCCCCGCCGGGGAAGGAGGUGCGAGGCAACGACAGGUCUGUGAUGCCCUUAGAUGUUCUGGGCCGCACGCGCAUUACACUGACGCGUCCAACGGGUGACUCCCGACCCGAAGGGGCCGGGGAAUCCGCAAGGCGCGUCGUGAUGGGGAUUGAACGUUGCAAUUGUUGUUCACGAACGAGGAAUUCCUAGUAGGCGCGGGUCAUCAACCCGCGCCGAUUACGUCCCUGCC